GAAAGAAGCAGGAAUAAGGAGAACAAGGAAGAAGCAGAAUAAAGAAAAUCGAUUACGAUAGAGAAAGGCAGCUGAAGAGUUAACAGCAUCCCGUCUGCAGGAUACCUACUGCUACAAAAGAUAACACAGGGCAAACAUAGAGAACAAGCUCUUCAUCUUUUUCACUUAAAUCUGAGCAAAUGCAGCACCAAUGAGAGAAAGCAGAUCUGCAUGCAUCCAUGCGGUCCUCAUCCCCAAACAAGAUGAUGGAGUAAGUUUCCCACACUCUGCUGUGUCAAUGUGUCAUGACCUUUCUCCCAAGGUGACACCUUUUGGGUAACAGCACUCAGUCUCUGCUGUCUUUCAGUCAUGUUUGUCUGCCUUCUUGUGGAAGCUGACUCCAGGCUCACCAGACGCUGCCAGAGUGGUGAUUUAGGAAUUCAGAGUGGUCCUGCCAAAUUGCUCUGCUUACAUCACUUGCUGAGGACAGCAGCCAGGUAGCUAACGGUGAACUUUGAGUCACUGUUGAUCUGGGCCAGACAUGAAAUAGUGAUAUAAAGAGAAAAAGCUCUCCACUUCCAGUUCCUGAACCAGCAAGUCAU
This 581-nucleotide long non-coding RNA is filed under the name Gallus gallus (chicken). RNAcentral's name for it is "long non-coding RNA NONGGAT002805". The record is from RNAcentral. Lineage: Eukaryota; Metazoa; Chordata; Aves; Galliformes; Phasianidae.